UCGGAGAGUUUGAUCCUGGCUCAGGAUGAACGCUGGCGGCGUGCCUAAUACAUGCAAGUCGAGCGAACUGAUUAGAAGCUUGCUUCUAUGACGUUAGCGGCGGACGGGUGAGUAACACGUGGGCAACCUGCCUGUAAGACUGGGAUAACUUCGGGAAACCGAAGCUAAUACCGGAUAGGAUCUUCUCCUUCAUGGGAGAUGAUUGAAAGAUGGUUUCGGCUAUCACUUACAGAUGGGCCCGCGGUGCAUUAGCUAGUUGGUGAGGUAACGGCUCACCAAGGCAACGAUGCAUAGCCGACCUGAGAGGGUGAUCGGCCACACUGGGACUGAGACACGGCCCAGACUCCUACGGGAGGCAGCAGUAGGGAAUCUUCCGCAAUGGACGAAAGUCUGACGGAGCAACGCCGCGUGAGUGAUGAAGGCUUUCGGGUCGUAAAACUCUGUUGUUAGGGAAGAACAAGUACAAGAGUAACUGCUUGUACCUUGACGGUACCUAACCAGAAAGCCACGGCUAACUACGUGCCAGCAGCCGCGGUAAUACGUAGGU
RNAcentral lists this ribosomal RNA (547 nucleotides) under Priestia megaterium. RNAcentral describes it as "bacterial SSU rRNA". It matches the Rfam family "Bacterial small subunit ribosomal RNA", at positions 1 to 532 of the family's 1533-position model. Lineage: Bacteria; Bacillati; Bacillota; Bacilli; Caryophanales; Bacillaceae. The record is from RNAcentral.